UACGGGGGGGGCAAGCGUUGUUCGGAAUUACUGGGCGUAAAGGGUUCGUAGGUGGUGCGGUAAGUUGGGAGUGAAAUCUCUGGGCUUAACUCAGGGGCUGCUUUCAAAACUGCCGUGCUCGAGUGCGAGAGAGGUCAGUGGAAUUCCAGGUGUAGCAGUGAAAUGCGUAGAUAUCUGGAGGAACACCGAUGGCGAAGGCAGCCCCCUGGGCCAGCACUGACGCUCAUACACGAAAGCGUGGGGAGCAAACAGG
RNAcentral lists this ribosomal RNA (253 nucleotides) under uncultured prokaryote. RNAcentral describes it as "partial 16S ribosomal RNA". It matches the Rfam family "Bacterial small subunit ribosomal RNA", at positions 524 to 776 of the family's 1533-position model. The record is from RNAcentral.